Molecule: ribosomal RNA, 405 nt
Filed under: bacterium
Lineage: Bacteria
Description: bacterial SSU rRNA
Rfam family: Bacterial small subunit ribosomal RNA
Source: RNAcentral
GUGGGGAAUAUUGCACAAUGGGGGAAACCCUGAUGCAGCGACGCCGCGUGAAGGAUGAAGUAUUUCGGUAUGUAAACUUCUAUCAGCAGGGAAGAAAAUGACGGUACCUGACUAAGAAGCCCCGGCUAACUACGUGCCAGCAGCCGCGGUAAUACGUAGGGGGCAAGCGUUAUCCGGAUUUACUGGGUGUAAAGGGAGCGUAGACGGCUAUGCAAGUCUGGUGUGAAAACCCGGGGCUCAACCCCGGGACUGCAUUGGAAACUGUGUGGCUUGAGUGUCGGAGAGGUAAGUGGAAUUCCUAGUGUAGCGGUGAAAUGCGUAGAUAUUAGGAGGAACACCAGUGGCGAAGGCGGCUUACUGGACGAUGACUGACGUUGAGGCUCGAAAGCGUGGGGAGCAAACAGG